AGACUAGUUGAUGAUUGCAAUGCAUCGUAAAACCUUCAGAGGGAAAGAAUGUUUUAUGGACCAUUUGGGGAUUUUUUGUGUGUGGCAAUUGUUAUUAGGUUUCAAAAGCA
RNAcentral lists this microRNA precursor (110 nucleotides) under Pteropus vampyrus (large flying fox). Its description in RNAcentral is "miRNA (ENSPVAG00000027240.1)". Lineage: Eukaryota; Metazoa; Chordata; Mammalia; Chiroptera; Pteropodidae. The record is from RNAcentral.